This 443-nucleotide ribosomal RNA is filed under the name uncultured bacterium. RNAcentral describes it as "bacterial SSU rRNA". It matches the Rfam family "Bacterial small subunit ribosomal RNA", at positions 28 to 501 of the family's 1533-position model. The record is from RNAcentral.
GACGAACGCUGGCGGCGCGCCUAAUACAUGCAAGUCGAACGGGCAGUCUUCGGACUGUCAGUGGCGGACGGGUGAGUAACACGUGGGUGACCUGCCCUGUAGUGGGGAAUAACUCUGGGAAACCAGGGCUAAUACCGCAUAUGCUUGGUGUUUCGAUAGAUCAAGUAAAGAGAAAUCGCUACAGGAGGGGCCUGCGCCGGAUUAGCUAGUCGGUGGGGUAACGGCUUACCGAGGCACGAUCCGUAGCUGGUCUGAGAGGACGACCAGCCACACUGGGACUGAGACACGGCCCAGACUCCUACGGGAGGCAGCAGUAAGGAAUAUUCCACAAUGGACGAAAGUCUGAUGGAGCGACGCCGCGUGAGCGAAAGAAGCCCCUUCGGGGUGUAAAACUCUUCGACGGGGACGAUAAUGACGGUACCCGUAGAAGAAGCUCCGCUAAC